GAUGAAGAACGUAGCGAAAUGCAAUACUUGGUGUGAAUUGCAGAAUCCCGUGAACCAUCGAGUUUUUGAACGCAAGUUGCGCCCGAAGCCGUUAGGCCGAGGGCACGCCUGCCUGGGUGUCACACAUCGUUGCCCCAAUGCCAAUCGCCUCACUUUGUAGGUAUUUGUUUGGGGUGAAUGUUGGCCUCCCGUGAGCUUUGUCUCACGGUUGGUUGAAAAUCGAGUGCAUGGUGUCGGGUGUACCAUGAUGGAUGGUGGUUGAGUGAUGAUGCUCGGUGACCCACAUGCGUCCCUUGGAUGCUCCCUAAGGAGACCUCAGGUCAGGCGGGGCUACCCACUGAGUUUAAGCAUAUCAAUAAGCGGAGGA
This 367-nucleotide unclassified non-coding RNA is filed under the name soil metagenome. RNAcentral describes it as "partial contains 5.8S ribosomal RNA, internal transcribed spacer 2, and large subunit ribosomal RNA". The stretch from base 1 to 122 matches the Rfam family "5.8S ribosomal RNA", at positions 35 to 154 of the family's 154-position model. The record is from RNAcentral.